This 596-nucleotide ribosomal RNA is filed under the name Syncephalastrum racemosum. RNAcentral's name for it is "eukaryotic LSU rRNA". It matches the Rfam family "Eukaryotic large subunit ribosomal RNA", at positions 48 to 650 of the family's 3401-position model. The record is from RNAcentral. Lineage: Eukaryota; Fungi; Mucoromycota; Mucoromycetes; Mucorales; Syncephalastraceae.
AAGCGGAGGAAAAGAAAAUAACCAUGAUUGCCUUAGUAACGGCGAGUGAAGAGGCAAAAGCUCAAGUUUGGAAGCUCAAUGGUUUAACCAUUGCGCAUUGUAAACUGAAAACAGGAUCAAUCAGGUACACCGGGUGAUAAGUUCCUUGGAAUAGGACAUCAUGGAGGGUGAGAAUCCCGUCUUUGACCCGAGUCUUAGUAUCUUUUGUAUUGGCCUGUUCAAGAGUCAGGUUGUUUGGGAAUGCAGCCUAAAGCUGGAGGUAAAUCCCUCCUGAAGCUAAAUAAUGGCGAGAGACCGAUAGCGAACAAGUACCGUGAGGGAAAGAUGAAAAGAACUCUGAAGAGAGAGUUAAACAGUACGUGAAAUUGCUUAAAGGGAAGCAUAUAAAGCUAGGAUGCGAUUGUUUUCUUCAGGUUGAGCUUUGGCUUGACUGUUCAGAAGGAUAAUCCAAGACAACAAGAAUUGGAGGAGGAGAAUAAGCCAUUGGGGAAGGUAAUCCUUCGGGAUGUUUAUAGACCUGAUGGUUCGCGCUCUUCUUUCGAUUGAGGUACGCUUUUUUUUUAAAAGGUUGUUGUCUGAAUGGCUUUAUAUGGCCC